GAUGAACGCUGGCGGCGUGCUUAACACAUGCAAGUCGAACGGAAAGGCUCCUGCUUGCAGUGGUACUCGAGUGGCGAACGGGUGAGUAACACGUGGGUGAUCUGCCCUGCACUUCGGGAUAAGCCUGGGAAACUGGGUCUAAUACCGGAUAGGACCACCUUUUGGAUGGUGUGGUGGAAAGUUUUUCGGUGUGGGAUGAGCUCGCGGCCUAUCAGCUUGUUGGUGGGGUAAUGGCCUACCAAGGCGUCGACGGGUAGCCGGCCUGAGAGGGGGUACGGCCACAUUGGGACUGUGAUACGGCCCAGACUCCUACGUGAGGCAGCAGUGGGGAAUAUUGGACAAUGGGCGCAAGCCUGAUGCAGCGACGCCGCGUGGGGGAUGACGGCCUUCGGGGUGUAAACUCCUUUCGCUAGGGACGAAGCGUUUUUGUGACGGUACCUGGAGAAGAAGCACCGGCUAACUACGUG
This 467-nucleotide ribosomal RNA is filed under the name uncultured bacterium. Its description in RNAcentral is "partial 16S ribosomal RNA". It matches the Rfam family "Bacterial small subunit ribosomal RNA", at positions 28 to 507 of the family's 1533-position model. The record is from RNAcentral.